RNAcentral lists this transfer RNA (77 nucleotides) under Oscillatoriaceae cyanobacterium. RNAcentral describes it as "tRNA-Pro". It matches the Rfam family "tRNA". Rfam says of the family: Transfer RNA (tRNA) molecules are approximately 80 nucleotides in length. Their secondary structure includes four short double-helical elements and three loops (D, anti-codon, and T loops). The record is from RNAcentral. Lineage: Bacteria; Bacillati; Cyanobacteriota; Cyanophyceae; Oscillatoriales; Oscillatoriaceae. RNAcentral also lists the same sequence under 2 other names.
CGGGACGUAGCGCAGCUUGGUAGCGCAUCUGCUUUGGGAGCAGAGGGUCGCUGGUUCGAAUCCAGUCGUCCCGACCA